Molecule: long non-coding RNA, 728 nt
Filed under: Apteryx haastii (Great spotted kiwi)
Lineage: Eukaryota; Metazoa; Chordata; Aves; Apterygiformes; Apterygidae
Description: lncRNA (ENSAHAG00000011113.1)
Source: RNAcentral
CUCUUGUCUUACAGUCAUGUGGAGGUCAGAAGUGUUGGUUCAGCAGUGAUCAGGUGGAGUCAUAGGCAAACUCCCCUAAUGGCUCCCCCCAGCCCCUCGGAGCUGUCAGAGCAGCUGUUGCUGCAGUCGAGCUGCAGAUAGCUGGGAGCGUACUGUAUCGCUGUGUGCUUCCCUCAGAUGAAGCAUUGGAAUGCUUAGAUGAAGAGACACUGGAAGCAAUGGCAAAACAUGAGACUGAAGACGACAAGAUCUUCCAGAAGUUUAAGGAGCGAAUAGCUGCAGAACCAGAGCAGAUGCAGAAAUUGAUUUGUGAUGAAGUAAGAAUUUAGCACCUGCUCAUCUAACUCAGACAGAAAUUGGUCAGGAUGACCAGGCACAGGGGCAUUAAAGCCAACAUGAGGGGGGCAUCUGCUGGCCUGUCAAGUGGUUCUAGCAAAAGAAGAGGAAAUAUCGCCCUCCUGCUGCCACCUUCUUGCAUACCCUGGCUUUUGGCCCUGUUGGCUUUCCUUCUCACCAGAACCAAAACUGCAGAGAAGAGCCAUGUCACUCUCGCCAUUUGCGGAUUAUUAGAUACUGCAGAGGAGGAGAAGGCCCCAUCUGGGUGUCAGGUGAAAAUAUUCCUGAAGAAAAAGAUAUCCCAAAUUGCUCAUGUGGUGCCAAAAGGAUAUUUGAAUUCCAGGUAUGUAAAUUCAUCUAAAGAUAAUAUAGGUACUGUAGUUCAAACUUAA